RNAcentral lists this ribosomal RNA (432 nucleotides) under uncultured bacterium. RNAcentral's name for it is "partial 16S ribosomal RNA". It matches the Rfam family "Bacterial small subunit ribosomal RNA", at positions 29 to 507 of the family's 1533-position model. The record is from RNAcentral.
ACGAACGCUGGCGGCAUGCCUAACACAUGCAAGUCGAACGAGACCUUCGGGUCUAGUGGCGCACGGGUGCGUAACGCGCGGGAACCUGCCCUUAGGUUCGGAAUAACUCCCCGAAAGGGGUGCUAAUACCGGAUAAUGUCUUCGGACCAAAGAUUUAUCGCCUUUGGAUGGGCCCGCGUUGGAUUAGCUAGUUGGUAGGGUAAAAGCCUACCAAGGCGACGAUCCAUAGCUGGUCUGAGAGGAUGAUCAGCCACACUGGGACUGAGACACGGCCCAGACUCCUACGGGAGGCAGCAGUGGGGAAUAUUGGACAAUGGGCGAAAGCCUGAUCCAGCAAUGCCGCGUGAGUGAUGAAGGCCUUAGGGUUGUAAAGCUCUUUUACCCGGGAUGAUAAUGACAGUACCGGGAGAAUAAGCUCCGGCUAACUCCGUG